Non-coding RNA from Cyanistes caeruleus (blue tit), 1958 nucleotides. Lineage: Eukaryota; Metazoa; Chordata; Aves; Passeriformes; Paridae. The record is from RefSeq and is a predicted model, not a curated record.
GUUGAUUUUAACCGACUGUAAUGUUUUAGGCUGACGUGAUAAACUCUUGCUCUAAUGGCAAACCAGUUAAAAAGCAGACCUGGGAGCAGCAAUACCAGCUUGUCACCCAACACUGCUUGCCUUGAGUAGGACAUUUAUUGACCAUGUGUCCAAGGGGGAUCCCAUCAGCAACCCAAGAGAGAAAUGCUGUUCAGAAAAAUCACAGGAUGAUGCUGUGCAGCUCUCACUUGUUCUGAGGACACCCAUGAUCUCCAUCAGUUUUCUCAGAAUUUCUGUGGAAAGUUGGAGGAAGAAGUUGAUCCCACAACAUGUUUGGCCUUGAGAUGGGGUUUUCCCUGGAAUGUCUGAAGGCACCAAAGUUUGCAGCACAUCUUCUGUGCAAUCUGGUCAGCCUGUGGAAACCGCAGAGUUACUCCUGUUUCUUUACCUGCUCCAAGGGAAGUGUUUCUGAGUCAGCAAAGGGAACCCAGCACAUUUUCCAUCACCCAGGAGGGAAUGCUCAGGAGAAAGACAGGCAAACCACUGAUGAGCCAGUAACAGUAAACAGGAGCAAGAGCAAAGUGGAGCAGCUUGGAAGGAAGGCCCAAGUGGACACCAAGAGGGAGAGCUGAGCACUCUCACUCUGGCAGUGGGAUCUACACUGGAGGCAUUGUGUCAUGAGAAAUACCAGAGAUAAGAAGUCCUGAAAAACCAUAAUUUGUGUGCAAGCUGACAUGUUUUGACAGCAUGGACAGGGAUGAAAAGACAGAGCAGCCCACGAGAGAGCUCUGUAGUGGUGGCAAUGGGAGUUAGUCCUUUCUCUCCCCAUCCAGGAUUCUGGGCAGUGGACUGGACAACAGCAUCUCUACUUCCCAAUUCAAACUGGACAAGGGAGCUGUGGUUCUAACCAGGCCAAGGUGCAUGUUAGGAAGUGAGAACAGGAGACUGUAAGCUCUUACCAGCAACAAGAAAAGGCUGUAGACAGCUUAGCAGCUAUCAGGACUGGAGAUGGAUGGGGGCAGAAUGCUGUGAGUGCUGCUGAUUCCUGCAGAAUUCCACUGGAAUGGGUAUUUCUGACUUAAGGGGAAAAAACCCUCCCUGUAAAGAAUAGGGUGGGUUUAGUUCUUAGGACAUUUAAUGAUGUACUGGCACAUAGUAACUGCACUAUAAAUAUAGUCUGAAAAAAUAUGAGCUUAGUUUGGAAGCUGCUCUCAGCGAAAUUAUGGGGUUUUGAUCCUGACCUAAACUGAUCCCACAUGUUCCUGUAUUCUCCCAAUGUUUGAGUGCACAGUAAAUCAACUGUAAUUUUUGCUUUUUAUUGCAAAGAAUGAACAGAAGAGAUUGGAAAUUAUAUGACUUUGGCAUAUGUUCAUCACGUGGUUCAGGAUUGUUUGAUAUCUUUUUGGGUUUAAGAUUUAAAUAAAGUGUAAAACAGGUACAGAGGAUCAAAACCUUUUAACUGGUAUUAGCUCAGAGAAAGCAGCCUGAGGUUCACCAGAGUGCUCAUUUCACAAACAUUCUGUGACUCUACAGAGAAGAAUGCACUGAUUUUACCAGUGGUAAUGUGCUCUGCUCACACAUACUGAGUGUGUGAAGAAAUAGUAUCACAGCAGGGAACAGUAAAGGAGGAGGAAGUAUCAAGUGACUUCUUUGGUAAUGAUACCCACUGCUUUAAGGCAACAGCCACUGUACCUCUGGAUUGUGGUGCACUCUCCUCUGAAAAAUGAGCAUGUUCAGUAUUCAUUCUUUUUCUGUCUCCUAAGGCCUUCUCUUCCCACUUUUUCACUCCUUGUUGUACCCACUUCAGGGGUGAUGCCGUAAACAAGAGUCUGCUCUGCAACAUGGAGUUUAGACUCCCCACUUCAAAACUCUUUGCCUUUCUGUUCUCAAACAUUUUUUUUGUCAUCUGAUCCCUACCCUCCAGUCUUUUUUAAGAUAUUCCAUAGUUUCUGUUGUUGUACCUUGUAACUUCUUCCUAU